Molecule: ribosomal RNA, 253 nt
Filed under: uncultured bacterium
Lineage: Bacteria
Description: partial 16S ribosomal RNA
Rfam family: Bacterial small subunit ribosomal RNA
Source: RNAcentral
UACGUAGGCAGCGAGCGUUGUUCGGAAUUACUGGGCGUAAAGGGCGCGUAGGUGGUUACUUAAGUCAGAUGUGAAAUCCCUGGGCUUAACCUAGGAAUUGCAUUUGAAACUGAGUAGCUAGAGUAUGGGAGAGGGAAGUGGAAUUUCCGGUGUAGCGGUGAAAUGCGUAGAUAUCGGAAGGAACACCAGUGGCGAAGGCGACUUCCUGGCCCAUUACUGACGCUGAGGCGCGAAAGCGUGGGGAGCAAACAGG